UGCAGUCGAGCGGUAAGGCCCCUUCGGGGGUACACGAGCGGCGGACGGCUGAGUAACACGUAGGAACAUACCCCAAAGUGAGGCAUAAGCACCAGAAAUGGUGUCUAAUACCGCAUGUGAUCUUAGGAUUAAAGCUACGGCGCUUUGGGAAUGGCCUGCGUAUGAUUAGUUUGUUGGUGAGGUAAUGGCUCACCAAGACUACGAUCAUUAGUUGGUCUGAGAGGAUGAUCAGCCAGACUGGAACUGAGAACGGUCCAGACUCCUACGGGAGGCAGCAGUAGGGAAUUUUCCACAAUGGACGAAAGUCUGAUGGAGCAACGCCGCGUGCAGGAUGAAUGCCUUCGGGUUGUAAACUGCUUUUAUAUGUGACGAUAAUGACGGUAGCAUAUGAAUAAGGAUCGGCUAACUCCGUGCCAGCAGCCGCGGUCAUACGGAGGAUCCAAGCGUUAUCCGGAAUUACUGGGCGUAAAGAGUUGCGUAGGUGGCAUUGUAAGUCAAUAGUGAAAGCGUGUGGCUCAACCAUACUCACAUUGUUGAAACUACAAAGCUAGAGGAUGAGAGAGGUUAUUGGAAUUCCCAGUGUAGGAGUGAAAUCCGUAGAUAUUGGGAGGAACACCGAUGGCGUAGGCAGAUAACUGGCUCAUUCCUGACACUAAGGCACGAAAGCGUGGGUAGCAAACGGGAUUAGAUACCCCGGUAGUCCACGCUGUAAACGAUGGAUGCUAGCUGUUUUCGGUAUCGACCCCGAAUGUAGCGAAGCUAACGCGUUAAGCAUCCCGCCUGUGGAGUACGGUCGCAAGACUAAAACAUAAAGGAAUUGACGGGGACCCGCACAAGCGGUGGAGCGUGUUGUUUAAUUCGAUGGUAAACGAAGAACCUUACCCAGGUUUGACAUCCUUUGGAAUUUUGCCGA
Molecule: ribosomal RNA, 913 nt
Filed under: uncultured bacterium
Lineage: Bacteria
Description: bacterial SSU rRNA
Rfam family: Bacterial small subunit ribosomal RNA
Source: RNAcentral